Molecule: ribosomal RNA, 301 nt
Filed under: uncultured bacterium
Lineage: Bacteria
Description: partial 16S ribosomal RNA
Rfam family: Bacterial small subunit ribosomal RNA
Source: RNAcentral
CAGCCGCCGCGGUAAUACGGAGGGUGCAAGCGUUAAUCGGAAUUACUGGGCGUAAAGCGUGCGUAGGCGGUUCGUUAAGUCUGUUGUGAAAGCCCCGGGCUCAACCUGGGAAUGGCAAUGGAUACUGGCGAGCUAGAGUGUGUCAGAGGAUGGUGGAAUUCCCGGUGUAGCGGUGAAAUGCGUAGAGAUCGGGAGGAACAUCAGUGGCGGAGGCGGCCAUCUGGGACAACACUGACGCUGAGGCACGAAAGCGUGGGGAGCAAACAGGAUUAGAUACCCCCGUAGUCCCUGUCUCUUAUAC